GCCUUAAGUCAAUGUUUAAUUUCAUACAUAGAACUUGUGGUCUUUUGACUUUGAGCCCCUAUAUAAACUUGACUAAAUCAUACAUGUUGUAUAUGAUCAACGGCUCAAGAAGCUGCAAAGGAAGUCCCGCACACAAACAGCACCUCUUUCAACACAGACUCUAGUCUGCUAAUGACAAACCAACUCUUGCUGAAAGAGAUUGAAAAAGGGUCAAGUUUUGUGUCAUCUCCUUUGUCAUUCCAUUUGACUUCGAGCCUUGUCGUUGCAGGAUCAACAGGCAAGACUUUAGAGCAGCUUCUUUCUUUUCUGGGGACACAGUAUUUGGGAACUCAAUCAGUUGGCAUCAUUUAUUGCCAGGAUUACGCUGCCUGCCGAGGAAGAAAAAACUGGAAAGAAACGUGCCAGAACAUCAGAUCCAACAUUGUUGUUCAUUAGUGGUGUUAGGGUCGAUCAAUGUUACAGCUUGAAUCCUUCUUUUGAAGGGAUUGUAAGAGAGGUCUACAAUGCUGAAGCUGAAGUUGACUUUCUAAAAAAGCCUGAUGAAGCAAGAGAAGGAGGUGAGUUUGUGGGCUGAAAGAAAGACGAGAGGAUUGAUCCUUUGAAGCUUACAAAGUGCUUAAACUGCCCUACCAAACUGGUCUAGACACCUGGCACUUUUCUAUGUAUUUCUUUCUUCCAGAUAAGAAAGAUGGCUUGUCAAAUCUGGUCAAAAUGAUUAAUUCUAAACCUGGAUUCUUUAAUCAGCAAUUCAAUCUGUGGAAAGUAGAACUUUCAUGUUCAUGAUAAGGGAAGAAGCUGCUAGAACUGUGUUCUUCACUGGAGCUGUGCUUAACCCACUAUCCAUGUCUUGAAACAUAAUCUGAUGGUCACGGUUUUUCAUUUGACAAUUAAGAAAUAAAAUUUCUGUAGUUUGCUCGUAUGAUGCUGCCAAUGUCUACUUGAUUUCACCUUCUUACAUAUUGUAAUAUGCCAAAACAGUGGUUAAAGUGGUUAUCAAUAAGAGUUCUCCACUAAAACUUGUGACCUAUCACAU
This is a long non-coding RNA of Populus trichocarpa (black cottonwood), 1033 nucleotides long. RefSeq lists it as uncharacterized. The record is from RefSeq and is a predicted model, not a curated record. NCBI's taxonomy places the organism in Eukaryota, Viridiplantae, Streptophyta, Magnoliopsida, Malpighiales, Salicaceae. The transcript is spliced from 3 exons.